CAGCAGCCGCGGUAAUGCGAAGGGUGCAAGCGUUAAUCGGAAUUACUGGGCGUAAAGCGUGCGUAGGCGGUUUGUUAAGUCUGUUGUGAAAUCCCCGGGCUCAACCUGGGAAUGGCAAUGGAUACUGGCAAGCUAGAGUGUGUCAGAGGAUGGUGGAAUUCCCGGUGUAGCGGUGAAAUGCGUAGAGAUCGGGAGGAACAUCAGUGGCGAAGGCGGCCAUCUGGGACAACACUGACGCUGAGGCACGAAAGCGUGGGGAGCAAACAGGAUUAGAUACCCCAGUAGUCCCUGUCUCUUAUAC
This 301-nucleotide ribosomal RNA is filed under the name uncultured bacterium. RNAcentral describes it as "partial 16S ribosomal RNA". It matches the Rfam family "Bacterial small subunit ribosomal RNA", at positions 509 to 807 of the family's 1533-position model. The record is from RNAcentral.